AUUGAACGCUGGCGGCAGGCCUAACACAUGCAAGUCGAACGGUAACAGGAAGAAGCUUGCUUCUUUGCUGACGAGUGGCGGACGGGUGAGUAAUGUCUGGGAAACUGCCUGAUGGAGGGGGAUAACUACUGGAAACGGUAGCUAAUACCGCAUAACGUCGCAAGACCAAAGAGGGGGACCUUCGGGCCUCUUGCCAUCGGAUGUGCCCAGAUGGGAUUAGCUAGUAGGUGGGGUAACGGCUCACCUAGGCGACGAUCCCUAGCUGGUCUGAGAGGAUGACCAGGCACACUGGAACUGAGACACGGUCCAGACUCCUACGGGAGGCAGCAGUGGGGAAUAUUGCACAAUGGGCGCAAGCCUGAUGCAGCCAUGCCGCGUGUAUGAAGAAGGCCUUCGGGUUGUAAAGUACUUUCAGCGGGGAGGAAGGGAGUAAAGUUAAUACCUUGGCUCAUUGACGUUACCCGCAGAAGAAGCACCGGCUAACUCCGUG
This 490-nucleotide ribosomal RNA is filed under the name uncultured bacterium. RNAcentral describes it as "partial 16S ribosomal RNA". It matches the Rfam family "Bacterial small subunit ribosomal RNA", at positions 30 to 507 of the family's 1533-position model. The record is from RNAcentral.